This 242-nucleotide ribosomal RNA is filed under the name uncultured bacterium. Its description in RNAcentral is "partial 16S ribosomal RNA". It matches the Rfam family "Bacterial small subunit ribosomal RNA", at positions 104 to 334 of the family's 1533-position model. The record is from RNAcentral.
CGGCGGGACGGGGUGGAGUAACGCGUGGGUAACCGUGCCUCAUACAGGGGGAUAACAGUUGGAAACGGCUGCUAAUACCGCAUAAGCGCACAGUACCGCAUGGUACGGUGUGAAAAACUCCGGUGGUAUGAGAUGGACCCGCGUCUGAUUAGGUAGUUGGUGGGGUAACGGCCUACCAAGCCGACGAUCAGUAGCCGACCUGAGAGGGUGACCGGCCACAUUGGGACUGAGACACGGCCCAA